This 505-nucleotide ribosomal RNA is filed under the name uncultured bacterium. RNAcentral's name for it is "bacterial SSU rRNA". It matches the Rfam family "Bacterial small subunit ribosomal RNA", at positions 8 to 526 of the family's 1533-position model. The record is from RNAcentral.
AGAGUUUGAUCCUGGCUCAGAGCCAACGCUGGCUGUGUGCCUAAUACAUGCAAGUCGAACGGGGAAGUACCUUCGGGUAUUGUACUAGUGGCGUACGGGUGAGUAACACGUGGAUAAUCUGCCCUUAGGUGGGGAAUAACUAACCGAAAGGUUGGCUAAUACCGCAUAAGACCACAAUCUCUAUGGAGAAUGAGGUUAAAGGCUUCGGCCGCCCAAGGAUGAGUCCGCGUCCCAUUAGCUAGUUGGUGGGGUAAUGGCCUACCAAAGCAUCGAUGGGUAGCUGGUCUGAGAGGAUGAUCAGCCACACUGGGACUGAGACACGGCCCAGACUCCUACGGGAGGCAGCAGUAGGGAAUAUUGCACAAUGGAGGAAACUCUGAUGCAGCGACACAGCGUGAGUGAUGAAGGCCUUCGGGUUGUAAAGCUCUGUUCUCAGGGAAAAAGAAAGUGAUUGUACCUGAGGAGAAAGGACCGGCUAACUUCGUGCCAGCCGCCGCGGUAAUAC